AGAGUUUGAUCCUGGCUCAGAGUGAACGCUGGCGGCGUGCCUAAUACAUGCAAGUCGAACGAUGAAGCUUCUAGCUUGCUAGAGUGCUGAUUAGUGGCGCACGGGUGAGUAACGCAUAGGUCAUGUGCCUCUUAGUUUGGGAUAGCCAUUGGAAACGAUGAUUAAUACCAGAUACUCCCUACGGGGGAAAGAUUUAUCGCUAAGAGAUCAGCCUAUGUCCUAUCAGCUUGUUGGUAAGGUAAUGGCUUACCAAGGCUAUGACGGGUAUCCGGCCUGAGAGGGUGAACGGACACACUGGAACUGAGACACGGUCCAGACUCCUACGGGAGGCAGCAGUAGGGAAUAUUGCUCAAUGGGGGAAACCCUGAAGCAGCAACGCCGCGUGGAGGAUGAAGGUUUUAGGAUUGUAAACUCCUUUUGUUAGAGAAGAUAAUGACGGUAUCUAACGAAUAAGCACCGGCUAACUCCGUGCCAGCAGCCGCGGUAAUACGGAGGGUGCAAGCGUUACUCGGAAUCACUGGGCGUAAAGAGCGCGUAGGCGGGAUAGUCAGUCAGGUGUGAAAUCCUAUGGCUUAACCAUAGAACUGCAUUUGAAACUACUAUUCUAGAGUGUGGGAGAGGUAGGUGGAAUUCUUGGUGUAGGGGUAAAAUCCGUAGAGAUCAAGAGGAAUACUCAUUGCGAAGGCGACCUGCUGGAACAUUACUGACGCUGAUUGCGCGAAAGCGUGGGGAGCAAACAGGAUUAGAUACCCUGGUAGUCCACGCCCUAAACGAUGGAUGCUAGUUGUUGGAGGGCUUAGUCUCUCCAGUAAUGCAGCUAACGCAUUAAGCAUCCCGCCUGGGGAGUACGGUCGCAAGAUUAAAACUCAAAGGAAUAGACGGGGACCCGCACAAGCGGUGGAGCAUGUGGUUUAAUUCGAAGAUACACGAAGAACCUUACCUAGGCUUGACAUUGAGAGAAUCCGCUAGAAAUAGUGGAGUGUCUGGCUUGCCAGACCUUGAAAACAGGUGCUGCACGGCUGUCGUCAGCUCGUGUCGUGAGAUGUUGGGUUAAGUCCCGCAACGAGCGCAACCCCCUUUCUUAGUUGCUAACAGGUUAUGCUGAGAACUCUAAGGAUACUGCCUCCGUAAGGAGGAGGAAGGUGGGGACGACGUCAAGUCAUCAUGGCCCUUACGCCUAGGGCUACACACGUGCUACAAUGGGGUGCACAAAGAGAAGCAAUACUGCGAAGUGGAGCCAAUCUUCAAAACACCUCUCAGUUCGGAUUGUAGGCUGCAACUCGCCUGCAUGAAGCUGGAAUCGCUAGUAAUCGCAAAUCAGCCAUGUUGCGGUGAAUACGUUCCCGGGUCUUGUACUCACCGCCCGUCACACCAUGGGAGUUGUGUUUGCCUUAAGUCAGGAUGCUAAAUUGGCUACUGCCCACGGCACACACAGCGACUGGGGUGAAGUCGUAACAAGGUAACCGUAGGUGAACCUGCGGUUG
RNAcentral lists this ribosomal RNA (1484 nucleotides) under Helicobacter pylori. Its description in RNAcentral is "bacterial SSU rRNA". It matches the Rfam family "Bacterial small subunit ribosomal RNA". Lineage: Bacteria; Pseudomonadati; Campylobacterota; Epsilonproteobacteria; Campylobacterales; Helicobacteraceae. RNAcentral also lists the same sequence under 1 other name. The record is from RNAcentral.